CACCGCCCGUCACACCCAUGGGAGUUGAGUUGCGACCAGAAGCAGGUAGCCUGACCGCGAAGGGGGGCGCCUACCACGGUGUGGUCAAUGACUGGGGUG
This 99-nucleotide ribosomal RNA is filed under the name uncultured bacterium. Its description in RNAcentral is "partial 16S ribosomal RNA". The record is from RNAcentral.